GCGCGUAAAUUGCCCGAAUCCUGACACAGGGAGGUAGUGACAAGAAAUAACAAUACAGGGCUACUUCUAGUCUUGUAAUUGGAAUGAGUACAACUUACAUCUCUUCACGAGGAUCAAUUGGAGGGCAAGUCUGGUGCCAGCAGCCGCGGUAAUUCCAGCUCCAAUAGCGUAUAUUAAAGUUGUUGCAGUUAAAAAGCUCGUAGUCGGAUUUCGGGUCGGGCCGAGCGGUCUGCCGAUGGGUAUGCACUGUUCGGCGCGGCCUUCUUUCCGGAGACCGCGGCUACUCUUAACUGAGCGGGCGUGGGAGACGGAUCGUUUACUUUGAAAAAAUCAGAGUGUUUCAAGCAGGCAGCUCGCUCUUGCAUGGAUUAGCAUGGGAUAAUGAAAUAGGACUCUGGUGCUAUUUUGUUGGUUUCGAACAUCGGAGUAAUGAUUAACAGGGACAGUCAGGGGCACUCGUAUUCC
Molecule: ribosomal RNA, 465 nt
Filed under: Haptophyta environmental samples
Lineage: Eukaryota; Haptophyta
Description: SSU rRNA
Rfam family: Eukaryotic small subunit ribosomal RNA
Source: RNAcentral